UGACGGGUAGCCGAAAGGUAAGGCAUCUGACUUUGAAUCAGAAGAUUGUGAGUUCGACCCUCACCCCGUCAU
Molecule: transfer RNA, 72 nt
Filed under: Anaerolineales bacterium HSG24
Lineage: Bacteria; Bacillati; Chloroflexota; Anaerolineae; Anaerolineales
Also listed under: 1 other name
Description: tRNA-Gln
Rfam family: tRNA
About the family: Transfer RNA (tRNA) molecules are approximately 80 nucleotides in length. Their secondary structure includes four short double-helical elements and three loops (D, anti-codon, and T loops).
Source: RNAcentral